AAAUUAUUGAAGACCCACUAAAAUUAUUAUGACUUUCAAGAACCAAAGAUCUAACAUCUUUGUCUCUUGGAAAGAAUAAUAAACUCUCGAUUUGUGUUGAGGCAUUUUCAACACACAACAC
Molecule: long non-coding RNA, 121 nt
Organism: Populus euphratica (Euphrates poplar)
Lineage: Eukaryota; Viridiplantae; Streptophyta; Magnoliopsida; Malpighiales; Salicaceae
Exons: 3
Source: RefSeq, a predicted model, not a curated record